CUGACCAAGCCCACUUGUAUUCACUAACUUGGUUUGUUUCUAGUUGAUUUUAGGCGAGAUGUUACCACAACCAUUGAUAUAUUACUGAUCCAAUGGUUCAUAUUUAACCCACUCUUUUUCAUAGAUUUCUUUUUUUUUUCUUCAAAUAUUUAUCAGAUCUUUUCUGCAGUGAAAACCUUCGGCCCUCUUGCGUCAAAAACCUUCUUCUACCUCUCUCCUCUCUCAUAUCUUACAUUCUAGAUAUCAAAUUGAGAAAGUUUUAACCUGUGUGUGAGAGAGCUUAAUUGCAGAGAAUAAUUUCGAGCUUGCAUAAAUCUAAAAUUGGAAAUAAAAUCGCUGCUAACCGGGGAAUCUCGUCGUCUCCAGUGAAAACCAUUCCCCAUGUGUUUCUAAAAGAUGCGAGGAGAAGAUGAAGGUGAGAAUAAUCUCGUCAGAUAGCUUCAGUGUCUUGGGUCGGUUCGCUCCCAGUUCAUUCCCGGUGCGAGUUGAGACGGCAAAGCUCAGAGAAGACAUAUGAUGGUGAAUUUGAGACCAAAUGAUUUGGUCAGGAACAAAAUACAUCUUCACUUACCAUCUUGGGAUUUGUUGGGCUCUCCCUCAUGUCCUGACUAAUCAUGGUAUCGUUUUUGAGCCAGAAGGAAACUGUGGUGAUGGCUCCUCUUCCUCUAGCAACUCCCACGAAAGGAAGAAUAUUGUGUCUAGCUGUUACCUCUGUAAGCUAAGAGAGAUACAUAAACUGGACAUUGGUGCUUUACUUGGGAUGAAUUUCUCUUCUCCUGCAGCUCAAGAAUAGUGGAUUUUACUGUUAAUUAUUGUACAUGUAUACUGCAGCACAACUUUAUCGUGUGAACAAUACAAUAAGGAUGUCGUCAGAUUUUAUAAUUUUCGGUUUCUGUAGAA
Molecule: long non-coding RNA, 900 nt
Organism: Brassica napus (rape)
Lineage: Eukaryota; Viridiplantae; Streptophyta; Magnoliopsida; Brassicales; Brassicaceae
Exons: 2
Source: RefSeq, a predicted model, not a curated record